AUGAGGGGUAGGGGAGCAUUGUAAUUGCGUCGAAGGUGUACCUGCGAGGGAUGCUGGAGCGAUUACAAACGAAAAUGUAGGCAUAAGUAACGAUAAUGCGGGCGAGAAACCCGCACGCCGAAAGACCAAGGUUUCCCCAGCUAUGCUAAUCAGCUGGGGGUCAGUCGGGACCUAACGCGAACCCGAAGGGGAUAGUGGAUGGACAACAGAUUAAUAUUUCUGUACCUGCUCACGCU
RNAcentral lists this ribosomal RNA (236 nucleotides) under uncultured eukaryote. RNAcentral describes it as "partial Bacterial large subunit ribosomal RNA". It matches the Rfam family "Bacterial large subunit ribosomal RNA", at positions 1221 to 1455 of the family's 2925-position model. The record is from RNAcentral.